UGCGAGCCCCUCCCUACAACCCCCCUCCCCCUACCCCAACCAAUGGCGGAGUGCGGAACAGACCAAUGGCGGAGUGCGGAACAUACCAAUGGCGGAGUGCGGAACAGACCAAUGGCGGAGUGCGGAACAGACCAAUGGCGGAGUGCGGAACAGACCAAUGCCGGAGUGCGGAACAGACCAAUGGCGGAGUGAGGAACAGAACAAUGGCGGAGUGCGGAGCAGACCAAUGCUGGGAUGUAGCACGUGGAUCAACACGUCAAACGAAAAUUAGACACAGGCAUCGAGUUGAUGACGCGUCAACGCCUGUAACCAGCGAUGGCAUGCUGUACGUGUGCAGCGUCAUUCACGACGCUAUUUAAAGACCGUAUCUGCGUCUAUAGAGAUAGCGCCGGAGCAAGCGACUCACCCACACCAGUUACCAUGGCACUGUUUGCCGGGCGUGUUACUCUUCACGUCGGCGGCCAAGAAUUCGUGGCUGGACGCUGAUAUCUUGUGUACAUGUAUGUGUAGUUGUGUACAUGAUGUCAUGGAAACCGCUUUGCCACGGGUCCAGGCGAUCCUGCCCGUGAGCUCAUCUCAUAAUUAUUUGUUUGACGGUUCCCUGAAGAGGUCAGCUAUUUGUUCCAGGAUUCCUUGUGCUGUGUGAGAGUGUGCCAGACUGUGAGUCGGUCUUUUGGAGGCGAACGUGACAGACUCCUCCUGCAGCUUCACGUUU
Long non-coding RNA from Sycon ciliatum, 715 nucleotides. RefSeq lists it as uncharacterized. The transcript has 3 exons. NCBI's taxonomy places the organism in Eukaryota, Metazoa, Porifera, Calcarea, Leucosolenida, Sycettidae. The record is from RefSeq and is a predicted model, not a curated record.